GACGAACGCUGGCGGCGUGCUUAACACAUGCAAGUCGAACGGUGAAGCUCCAGCUUGCUGGAGUGGAUCAGUGGCGAACGGGUGAGUAACACGUGAGCAACCUGCCCCAGACUCUGGAAUAAGCGCUGGAAACGGCGUCUAAUACUGGAUACGAGAUCAAGCCGCAUGGUUAUGGUCUGGAAAGUUUUUCGGUUUGGGAUGGGCUCGCGGCCUAUCAGCUUGUUGGUGAGGUAAUGGCUCACCAAGGCGACGACGGGUAGCCGGCCUGAGAGGGCGACCGGCCACACUGGGACUGAGACACGGCCCAGACUCCUACGGGAGGCAGCAGUGGGGAAUAUUGCACAAUGGGCGAAAGCCUGAUGCAGCGACGCCGCGUGAGGGAUGACGGCCUUCGGGUUGUAAACCUCUUUCAGCAGGGAAGAAGCGAAAGUGACGGUACCUGCAGAAGAAGCACCGGCUAACUACGUG
This 468-nucleotide ribosomal RNA is filed under the name uncultured bacterium. RNAcentral's name for it is "partial 16S ribosomal RNA". It matches the Rfam family "Bacterial small subunit ribosomal RNA", at positions 28 to 507 of the family's 1533-position model. The record is from RNAcentral.